UUGCAGUGAGCCAAGAUCACACCACUGCACUCCGGAGCAAGACUCCAUCUCAGAACAAAAUAUAUAGAGAGAGCUCAAAAAAAGGUCAGAGUGUGACCCAAGUGUGCGCUGACCCAUGGUAAAAUGUGGAAGUAAAUGCAUUCGAAUAAAUCCCCUGCCCACCCGCUUUUCUUUUCUUUUUUCUUUUUGGCUGUGGCUUUCCUGAAAUAAAAUGCAGAAAAAUUUCCAGUUGUUGAUAGCUUCCAGUUAGCUGGGCACUGAUUAACUCAAUGGAAAGUGGUGUUAUUCAAACAGAGUUCAAAGCCCAAAGCAAGUAGAAGAGGAUGCCUGUUGCCCUUUUAAAUGUUGCUUUAAUCCUGUUUGAUGCAGGUUGCUCCAUCAGCAUCCUCCAAGUCCUCAUUCAGUCCCCAUCUGGAGUUUGCCCAGCCUGUGCCUCUAGCUAAUACUGUGUGAUCUCAGACCAGUUUUCCAGUUUUGAGAGUUUUGAAAGUCAUGGCGUAAGUCCUGUCCACUCAUCUCUGCCAUCGGGCCCUCCAUCCUCCUGCUCCCCGGCAACAAGGAGCACACACACCCCCACCCCCACCAAUCACCUCCAGGUCCUAGUGCCAAUGCUCUCUAACUCCGCUCUCCCAGGCACCAACCUGGGAGGUCGCCCCUUGAGAGGCAAACAGCACAGUGGGCAUGGCACAGCUGCGUGUGUUCCCGGACCAACUGAGGAUCAGGUGGCAUGUUCUUGUGGCCCCAAAACGAGAUGCAGAUGAACUGGGAGAGGAAGUUAUUAUUUCUGUAGCCAUUUACAGGGAGAAGACCUAGAAAAUAACGCCGGGUCAACUCAAAAUUACCAAGUUUUCCAGAGCUUACAUACCUUCUGAGCUAUCUGUCAUGGGGAUCUCCCAAGACUCCUGGGUCCCUCACAUUCCCCCACAUGAACCUUCAUCGUGUUCAACUUGAACAGGUGCUAUUUCCACACAGUAUCCAGCAUCCCCAACCCCAGACAGAUCCAUUUAUGCAGCUCUGGGCCCUUGUCACCCAUUGUCUUCCUCCCUGGAGGGAAGCACAGUAGAUUCUCAACCUGGAAUGUGCAAGACAGCCACCUGAGGAGGUCUCACGUCGUGCACAGGACACACGGAUUCCGAUUUCAGGUGGGAUCUGGACAUGAAUUUCACAAAGAAAAAGCCCAGCUCUGCCCGGGUGCAGCAAACUACAACAUAAGGGCCCAAUGUGGCCAUGGCCUGCUUUUGUAAAUAAAGUGUGGAGUCUUAAUUAGGGAGAGUCAGGUUGGCAGAAA
This is a long non-coding RNA of Piliocolobus tephrosceles (Ugandan red Colobus), 1288 nucleotides long. RefSeq lists it as uncharacterized. Lineage: Eukaryota; Metazoa; Chordata; Mammalia; Primates; Cercopithecidae. The record is from RefSeq and is a predicted model, not a curated record. The transcript is spliced from 3 exons.